AGGUCCGUUUCAUUUUCUGAUGUGUUAAACACGAGUACAAUUUUUACGAUUUUUUUUUUAGUUUGAUUACUUUUCCAGAUUUUUCUUUGUGUUCAUCUCGUCAGAGAAUUUUAAUGAACAUGAAUAAUACCAUGGCUAGAUAAACAAUAUAACUUUAAACUUUUCUACAUCUUUUGGUAUUUACUUGGUAAAAAAACAAUCAAGU
RNAcentral lists this long non-coding RNA (205 nucleotides) under Mytilus galloprovincialis (Mediterranean mussel). Lineage: Eukaryota; Metazoa; Mollusca; Bivalvia; Mytilida; Mytilidae. The record is from RNAcentral.